Molecule: long non-coding RNA, 690 nt
Filed under: Phoenix dactylifera (date palm)
Lineage: Eukaryota; Viridiplantae; Streptophyta; Magnoliopsida; Arecales; Arecaceae
Description: long non-coding RNA (PDAC_LNC016325)
Source: RNAcentral
AAGUAUCGAAUUAACUUGUAACAUACUCUUGAUUAUUGCUUGUUAAUCAUCAAAAUACCACUAUCAUCCUCAAUCNCCCCCUUUUUGAUGAUUACAAAAUAUAGAGUAUGAGCCUAUUGAUACUUAUCUUAAAAUCAGUUUUAAAAUGGCUCAAUUUGCUGAAUUUUAGCUUUUCAAAUAUGAGAGUGAAGUCUCCCCCUAUUUCAUCCAAUGUUUCCAAUUUGACUUUUUGAAUUGCUCCCCCUUUCUUUUAUAUUUCAUUAAAGAUGAAACUUCAAAAAUUUGAGAUAAAGCAUGAGUUUCAGAUUAUGUAUCGAGGUGUGAAAGGUAUGUGCCAAAUUCUGAAAUUCUAUGUGCCAAAUUCUGAAAUUCAAUAGAAAUUUUAGAUUUGAUCAUUUUUAUUGUUACAAACUGCUCCCCCUUAAAUGUAUAUGCUUUCCUAUUGUAAUUUUCAACUUGUUUGACAACUUAUUUCUCUUUUCUUGCUCAACUCAUUUCUCUUUCCUUACUUCUCCCCCUUUUUGUUAUCAUCAAAUAGGUGCAUAGACACAAUAAUUAACAAACAUUUAAACUUCAUUGAUCAAAAAGGAAUAUUUUAGUUCAAUAAUGCCAAAACAAAAACAAAUACAAUGUUCCUCAAUCAAAGUUCAAAAUACAUGAUCAACACAAAAUACAUAUGAGAACUAGAUA